UAUUUUUCUUUUUGAGUUUGGUUUUAGUUACGAGAGACAGAAACAACUUAAAGCAUGCAUAAUAUUAUAGAGACAAAAUCGGUGAACGUUUCGUGCUGCCGUAAUCACUUAAAUGAUCCCACCUGUUCUCAAAGGCUUUCUCAUUCGCUUCUAUCCCCUCCGAAAAUUUACUGAAUUUCACCCUUAAUUGUGCAAAACAAAAUCCAUCCCGUAGCAGAGGGCACCGGCUGUAGAUCCCCCUCUCAAGGACAGGAGGCAGCCCUCACUGUGGGGCUGGGCUCCCCUUUCGUACUCGUCUGCUCGGAGCAGGGUCAUACCCUACCAUCCAGGUGCGGACGGACCCGUCCGAGCCGCCCCUGCCACACAGGAACAAGAACGUGAAGAACUUAACAGAGAGGUGAACGGCAACGUGUUAGCUAAAGCAGAAGACUAUCUCAAAUCACUUCUCGCUGAUGCUUUUAAGGGGAAAGGAUUUCAGGAAAUAGGUGAACUGCUUCAGGAGAGAGAAUCUCCUCAGAAAUACAGGAAAUC
Long non-coding RNA from Neopsephotus bourkii (Bourke's parrot), 531 nucleotides. RefSeq lists it as uncharacterized. Lineage: Eukaryota; Metazoa; Chordata; Aves; Psittaciformes; Psittacidae. The transcript has 3 exons. The record is from RefSeq and is a predicted model, not a curated record.